This 200-nucleotide long non-coding RNA is filed under the name Panax ginseng (ginseng). RNAcentral describes it as "long non-coding RNA (PGIN_LNC015409)". The record is from RNAcentral. Lineage: Eukaryota; Viridiplantae; Streptophyta; Magnoliopsida; Apiales; Araliaceae.
GAGAGUUGUUUAGUAGUCCUCACCAUUUUUGUAAAAUAAUGUAUCAAUAAAUGUGAUGAGGAUUUAUUUGGGUAUAGAUAUUGUCUAGAAGAUAAUAUUUGUAUUCAAACUCACAGUUUUACUAUUGUAAUAAUAAAGUUGUAGUUUUUUCUGUACCAUGUAUUGACAACUCAGAAUGGGUGAUGUAUACCUAUUUUGGG